This is a long non-coding RNA of Phyllostomus discolor (pale spear-nosed bat), 169 nucleotides long. RefSeq lists it as uncharacterized. NCBI's taxonomy places the organism in Eukaryota, Metazoa, Chordata, Mammalia, Chiroptera, Phyllostomidae. The transcript has 3 exons. The record is from RefSeq and is a predicted model, not a curated record.
CUUUAAAUAAAUAUUUCCUUUCCUUUUCACAAAUCUCUGGCAUUGAGAGAUGUCUUUCCUCUGGUGGCAGGCAUAGAGAACCUAGUGGGGGGUCCUUUCAGUAACACUAUAGUGUACACCCCCCCUUGACCCUGUUCUGUAACAGCCUCUCUGAUGUAAAAAAUUUUUA